GCGGGGGUCCCCAAGCCAGGUUAAAGCCAAGCUUGAAUUAGGCGACAAAAGGGGGCAGUUAAAAAGCCUAAACUCAAGAUCUGCUGGCUAAGGCCUUCGUGGGUUCAAAUCCCACCCCCCGCA
RNAcentral lists this transfer RNA (123 nucleotides) under Nitrososphaerales archaeon. RNAcentral's name for it is "tRNA-OTHER". Lineage: Archaea; Thermoproteati; Nitrososphaerota; Nitrososphaeria; Nitrososphaerales. The record is from RNAcentral.